GCAGUCGAGCGACAGAUAAGGAGCUUGCUCCUUUGACGUUAGCGGCGGACGGGUGAGUAACACGUGGAUAACCUACCUAUAAGACUGGGAUAACUUCGGGAAACCGGAGCUAAUACCGGAUAAGAUUUUGAACCGCAUGGUUCAAUAGUGAAAGACGGCCUUGCUGUCACUUAUAGAUGGAUCCGCGCCGUAUUAGCUAGUUGGUAAGGUAACGGCUUACCAAGGCAACGAUACGUAGCCGACCUGAGAGGGUGAUCGGCCACACUGGAACUGAGACACGGUCCAGACUCCUACGGGAGGCAGCAGUAGGGAAUCUUCCGCAAUGGGCGAAAGCCUGACGGAGCAACGCCGCGUGAGUGAUGAAGGUCUUCGGAUCGUAAAACUCUGUUAUCAGGGAAGAACAAACGUGUAAGUAACUGUGCACGUCUUGACGGUACCUGAUCAGAAAGCCACGGCUAACUACGUGCCAGCAGCCGCGGUAAUACGUAGGUGGCAAGCGUUAUCCGGAAUUAUUGGGCGUAAAGCGCGCGUAGGCGGUUUUUUAAGUCUGAUGUGAAAGCCCACGGCUCAACCGUGGAGGGUCAUUGGAAACUGGAAAACUUGAGUGCAGAAGAGGAAAGUGGAAUUCCAUGUGUAGCGGUGAAAUGCGCAGAGAUAUGGAGGAACACCAGUGGCGAAGGCGACUUUCUGGUCUGUAACUGACGCUGAUGUGCGAAAGCGUGGGGAUCAAACAGGAUUAGAUACCCUGGUAGUCCACGCCGUAAACGAUGAGUGCUAAGUGUU
Molecule: ribosomal RNA, 783 nt
Filed under: Staphylococcus sp.
Lineage: Bacteria; Bacillati; Bacillota; Bacilli; Caryophanales; Staphylococcaceae
Description: bacterial SSU rRNA
Rfam family: Bacterial small subunit ribosomal RNA
Source: RNAcentral